Molecule: ribosomal RNA, 509 nt
Filed under: uncultured Rhizomicrobium sp.
Lineage: Bacteria; Pseudomonadati; Pseudomonadota; Alphaproteobacteria; Micropepsales; Micropepsaceae
Description: bacterial SSU rRNA
Rfam family: Bacterial small subunit ribosomal RNA
Source: RNAcentral
UAAUACGAAGGGGGCUAGCGUUGUUCGGAAUUACUGGGCGUAAAGCGCGCGCAGGCGGCUAUCCAAGUCAGUGGUGAAAACCCGGAGCUCAACUCCGGAACUGCCAUUGAAACUGUUUAGCUUGAGGACGAGAGAGGUGAGUGGAAUUCCCCAGUGUAGAGGUGAAAUUCGUAGAUAUUGGGAAGAACACCGGUGGCGAAGGCGGCUCACUGGCUCGUAUCUGACGCUCAGGCGCGAUAGCGUGGGGAUCAAACAGGAUUAGAUACCCAGGUAGUCCACGCCGUAAACGAUGAAUGCUAGCCGUUGGGUAGCUUGCUAUUCAGUGGCGCAGCUAACGCAUUAAGCAUUCCGCCUGGGGAGUACGGCCGCAAGGUUGAAACUCAAAGGAAUUGACGGGGGCCCGCACAAGCGGUGGAGCAUGUGGUUUAAUUCGACGCAACGCGCAGAACCUUACCAGGGUUUGACAUCCUGCGACCGCUCCUUAAUAGGAGUUUUCCCGCAAGGGACGC